This 253-nucleotide ribosomal RNA is filed under the name uncultured bacterium. Its description in RNAcentral is "partial 16S ribosomal RNA". It matches the Rfam family "Bacterial small subunit ribosomal RNA", at positions 1066 to 1320 of the family's 1533-position model. The record is from RNAcentral.
CGUGAGAUGUUGGGUUAAGUCCCGCAACGAGCGCAACCCUCGCCCUUAGUUGCCAUCAUUCAGUUGGGCACUCUAAGGGGACUGCCGGUGAUAAGCCGAGAGGAAGGUGGGGAUGACGUCAAGUCCUCAUGGCCCUUACGGGCUGGGCUACACACGUGCUACAAUGGUGGUGACAGUGGGCAGCGAGACCGCGAGGUCGAGCUAAUCUCCAAAAGCCAUCUCAGUUCGGAUUGCACUCUGCAACUCGAGUGCA